Grammomys surdaster is the source of this 137-nucleotide small nucleolar RNA. RefSeq annotates it as small nucleolar RNA SNORA17. The record is from RefSeq and is a predicted model, not a curated record. The transcript has a single exon. NCBI's taxonomy places the organism in Eukaryota, Metazoa, Chordata, Mammalia, Rodentia, Muridae.
UCUGCCUCUAGAGGCUUUGCAAGUAUUACUGCUGUGUCACAUGUGUGUAAGUAGGUGGCAGAGAAGAGAGAGGCUGUGUCUAUGCUCCACUCAGUGUUCUGACGUUUGAACAUCUGAAUCAUCUGUAACCUAACAUU